Oreochromis aureus is the source of this 532-nucleotide long non-coding RNA. Lineage: Eukaryota; Metazoa; Chordata; Actinopteri; Cichliformes; Cichlidae. The record is from Ensembl.
UGAGAGGCACAACAAAAGUGAACGAGGCAAACUUUAGUGGGCGUGAGAGCUGAUUUGAGCUAAAGUUGGUUUGUUUUUUAGGACAGAUUCACAAUUUUCUUUUCUCUCCACUCGUCUGACCUGAGAGUUGCUUCCUUGCACACCUAUGACCUACAGGAUCCUCCAGCUGUCAGCACACACCUGCUGGAUGACACCUGGAUGGGCCCAGCAUACGUUUAGCGCUGUGAAUCCUCAGAGUGGGUGGACUGGGUGAGGAGGAGGGGGAGAGGGCACAGUGAUAGGAGGUUUUAAUGAGGACCUCCAUCCUUAAACCUCCAGAGAGCCAAGACCUGAAGGGCCCCGCUGGCUGUGAGGUGGCGGCGCUGACCUCCCUCAGCUGCCUCUGCCAUCCACCACUUCCUGGAGAGUUUGAGCCAUCCAUUCACAGAAAAGUUGAGCAACUUUACACAACAAAAUGUGCAUUUUUAAACCUUGCGUCUCAUGUUAUGGCAAUACAUCAGGUCGUCAUAGAUUUCAUUCACAGUCAUUAAUG